AAACCACAUAAAAUUAUAUGGGCUUAAAAUGGACUAUGAACACAACCAGGCAAACAAAAAACAGGCAAUAGUUUUGUCCUUACCUUCAUUCCUCAGCAGCAAAAUUUCUAUUCCAUUGCCAAACACAACUUACAGAACAAAUCAGUACAUUACUGAUAUAGUUGGUGAGAUGUUGUCAAGCUUAGUGACAGAAGAAAAACAUCACAAUGUACCAUCCCUUCAGCUAGUGACCUCUUGGAAUUAAGCAUAGAUGCUUUCCAAAACAAGAAGUGAGAUGUUGUCAAGCCUAGUGAUAGAAGAAAAACAUCACAAUGUACCGUCCCUUCAGAUAGUCAGGCCCGAGCCCAUGGGGGUGCAACCUGUGCGCCGGCACAGGGCCCCCAGUUUUUAGGGGCCUCAGAUUUUGUACGCACGGCGAGGCAAAGUCCAAUUGGCUGGGUCUUUUAUCCUUUGUACACGGGCCUCCUUCCAUCUUUCCUAUGGGUGAAACAGGCCCCGAUUGGGACGUGCGCCUCAUCCAGCGAUCGAUCUGCCUUCUCUCCAAAAAAGCGAUCGAUCUGUCUAAGAAAAAUAAAAUCCAGCGAUCCAUUGAGACGAACAAAGCCAAUCUAUUGAUUUUCUCCUCCGGCGGCCGAGUUAAGCUAAAUUGCAGGUUAUAUCCAUUCUUCGGUCUCCUCCUUACAUCAGGAGAGCAAGACCGCGAACGGCAGCGCGGCAGGGAGGACAUGAAGGAAUGGAAGGUGCAAGCCAUCUUCCGAUCUCCAAUUUCUUAAGCAUCGUCGCUUUGAUAACCGGCGAUCACGUGAGGCCUUGAUUGUGAGUUGCAAUUUACGUCCGCUAUUUAGUUCUGCAAAAUUCUUCUAGCUAUUUUUUUUUUUCAUCUAUUAGGCGUCUCGUAUUGCAAGAUCCAAGUCAUGUCUUUGAUUAGAAAACAUGAAUCUAGUUACCAAAAGCGUAGAAAGAAACAAAAAAAAUCAAAGAUUUAGUGAGGUAAGGCCCAUUUUCGAGUUUGGCACAGGGCCUCGGAUUUUGCCGGCUUGGUCCUGCAGAUAGUGACCUCUUGGAGUUAAGCAUAGAUGAUUUCCAA
RNAcentral lists this long non-coding RNA (1087 nucleotides) under Triticum aestivum (bread wheat). RNAcentral describes it as "long non-coding RNA (TAES_LNC020023)". Lineage: Eukaryota; Viridiplantae; Streptophyta; Magnoliopsida; Poales; Poaceae. The record is from RNAcentral.